This 509-nucleotide ribosomal RNA is filed under the name uncultured bacterium. RNAcentral describes it as "bacterial SSU rRNA". It matches the Rfam family "Bacterial small subunit ribosomal RNA", at positions 30 to 518 of the family's 1533-position model. The record is from RNAcentral.
UGAACGCUGGCGGCGUGCUUAAUACAUGCAAGUCGAACGAACGAGCCCUUAACCGAAGAUGAUGACGUGCUUGCACUGAAUCUGAUUCACCUUAGGGUUACUGAGUGGCGGACGGGUGAGUAACGCGUGGGUAACCUGCCUUAGACAGGGGGAUAACAUCAAGAAAUUGGUGCUAAUACCGCAUAUGCUCACAGUAUCGCAUGAUACAGUGAGGAAAACUCCGGUGGUCUAAGAUGGACCCGCGUCUGAUUAGCUAGUUGGAGGGGUAACGGCCCACCAAGGCGACGAUCAGUAGCCGACUUGAGAGAGUGAUCGGCCACAUUGGGACUGAGACACGGCCCAAACUCCUACGGGAGGCAGCAGUAGGGAAUAUUGCACAAUGGGGGAAACCCUGAUGCAGCGACGCCGCGUGAAGGAUGAAGUAUUUCGGUAUGUAAACUUCUAUCAGCAAGGAAGAAAAUGACGGUACUUGACUAAGAAGCCCCGGCUAAAUACGUGCCAGCCGCUGC